Long non-coding RNA from Brassica rapa (field mustard), 490 nucleotides. RefSeq lists it as uncharacterized. The record is from RefSeq and is a predicted model, not a curated record. Lineage: Eukaryota; Viridiplantae; Streptophyta; Magnoliopsida; Brassicales; Brassicaceae.
UCAUACUUGUGGGUUAGCUAGAGAAGCUCGGAGGUUGCUACGAGAGCGCAAGGACAUCGUGAUCAGGCACGUGAACAUGCCGGACAUGGACAGCUUCAAGCUCCUUGAGCACGUUGGCCUUGAACUGAACCUCCCUGUCAUAAGUGAGAUCACUUCAUGUGGCUGUCAGUGGGAAGGGAUACCUACAUAUAUCAUUGGUAUAGGCAGAGGAAUAAGUGCUACGGUUGGACUAGCGGCUACGGUCGUAUAUCCUCUAAUGGAAAGCCGUCUCUCAUCGCUGAGAACUGACUUCUCGUCAUUGUGGUCUCAUGUAUAUUAUUAACUUGAAACUUCUAAUCUAUUUGGAAGAGUAAUGUUUAGAUUGUCAAUCACAUGAAAUUGUAACAUAUUUGCAGUAAGGUUUUAGAUUCUUAUGGUUUACUAGAAAAUGUAUGUGUUCUUUUGCAAUCGGCUCUUGGCUUGAUAUAAAAUGUUUAAUUUUUUUUUCAAA